Molecule: transfer RNA, 91 nt
Filed under: Heterodermia speciosa
Lineage: Eukaryota; Fungi; Ascomycota; Lecanoromycetes; Caliciales; Physciaceae
Description: tRNA-Val
Source: RNAcentral
AGUCGAAUGGUCUAAUGGUUAUGAUUUCUCGUUCACAAUUGACGUGUACAAUGUUCCGAGAAGGUUCUGAGUUCGAUCCUCAGUUCGACUA